GCAUUAUUUCUUCCCCUUUUGCAGAUGAAAAACUGAGGCUUAGAAAGGACAAGUGACUUGUCCAAGGUCACACAGGAGUGUGACUCAAGAUUCAGACUCACACUGCUUAACUCUAAAGACAAAGAUGAGAGAGAGGGAAAUAUGUGCUGAAAUUCUUACGGCAUUUGUCACCUAUUCCAGUCAUCUGAGACUUAACAUAGUCUAAAAUGUGUCAGUUAUCAUUUCAAGUUUUAUAAUCACAUUAAGAUUGCAAAUUCCUUGAGGUCAAAGACCGAGUUUUCUACUUCUUUAUAUUCUUCAGAGUCCCUAACAUAGCAAUUUGUACAAAACAAGCAACUAAUAAAUAUGUACGUUAAUAAAUCUAAAAGAGGGGAGUUAAAUUAUUAUCGUGAGUUGAAGAAAAAAAUGAGCCUACUAAGAUAAAAGAGGAUGAAGAUGAGGAUUUGUCUUCCCCAUUUUCCAGGAUAUGGGUCAUUUUAAAAAGACAAAUUCUGGGUCUCUCUCAAGCUCCAAAGGAGGGAACUAUCCCAGGUUAAUUAACUUUCUGAAAUAGCUACCUUGAAAAGGAGGAGGGCAGUGGAAGCCUCCAACAGCCUCCUGAAUAUGUCCAUGGGAAAUGAUUCCAGCAAAGCUCCAAUGUAAAUCAAGCUCGGCUCCCCAAAGCCCCAGAUUCAUACAAUUUCAGAGGCUCAUCCCUUUAAUCUUUCUGCUGUCUCUUGAGGGCUUAUAACUUCCGCAGUGGCUGGAGGGCCGAAGGAGUCACAGAAGCUCAGCCCUGAUGCAAAAGUAAGCAGAAAGAGACUGUGAGCCAUCAGGAGUGAGCAAGAUAAGCAGCAGUAUCCUCUAAGCAAAAACCCCCAGGCAGACAUGCCAAGGACCAAGGUCCCAGAAAGUUUAUAGAUUCCAACAGGGUUGGAAAGAGAAGCACCCUUACAGCACAGCCUCAAAGAAAGCCGAGCAAAAGGGCCAUGCUGUUCUCAUCACAAGAGGGCUGUGUUGUCUACAGUCUCCUUUUGAGAAGUGUGUCUCCCAUAUGUGCACACGCACUGCAUGCACACAGCUGCCCUAACUGUACUCAACUCUCUCUUUUUUGUCUACAUCAAAGUACGCAGCUGUGAUUCUUUUAAACAACACUGGACUCUAGGUGACCAUCAUGCUUCCUGGGGGCAGCUGCACACAAGUCAGUAUAAAGCGGAGAAAGUAACACCAGUAGGUUAAGAUAACAGUGACACAGCAAAAGAGGAAGACCCUAUUUAAGAAGUGGUACAACC
Molecule: long non-coding RNA, 1271 nt
Filed under: Homo sapiens (human)
Lineage: Eukaryota; Metazoa; Chordata; Mammalia; Primates; Hominidae
Description: HSALNT0190861
Source: RNAcentral